CCUAUCCCCUGUGUGCCUGGAGUCUCAGAGGGUCGAUUCUGGCUCAGGACGAACGCUGGCGGCGUGCUUAACACAUGCAAGUCGAACGGGGAUUAGUUGAUUGAGAGCUUCGGCAGGAAAUCGAUUAAUUCGAGUGGCGGACGGGUGAGUAACGCGUGAGCAACCUGUCCCAGACAGGGGGAUAACACUUGGAAACAGGUGCUAAUACCGCAUAAGACCACGGGAUCACAUGGUUCUGGGGGUAAAAAGGAGCAAUCCGGUUUGGGGUGGGCUCGCGUCCGAUUAGCCAGUUGGCGGGGUAACGGCCCACCAAAGCGACGAUCGGUAGCCGACCUGAGAGGGUGAACGGCCACAUUGGAACUGAGAGACGGUCCAAACUCCUACGGGAGGCAGCAGUGGGGAAUAUUGGGCAAUGGGCGAAAGCCUGACCCAGCAACGCCGCGUGAGUGAAGAAGGCCUUCGGGUUGUAAAGCUCUGUUAUAGUUGACGAAGGAAGUGACGGUAGGCUAUAAGGAAGCCCCGGCUAACUACGUGCCAGCCGCCGC
Molecule: ribosomal RNA, 545 nt
Filed under: uncultured bacterium
Lineage: Bacteria
Description: bacterial SSU rRNA
Rfam family: Bacterial small subunit ribosomal RNA
Source: RNAcentral